AAGUCGAACGAGGCUUCGAGCCGAGUGGCGAACGGCUGAGUAACACGUUGGCAUCUGCCCCGAACUCAGGGAUAACAUCUAGAAAUAGGUGCUAAUACCGGAUGGUCCCGCGAGGGUAAAGCUUUUGCGGUUCGGGAGGAGCCUGCGGCCUAUCAGCUUGUUGGUGGGGUAAUGGCCUACCAAGGCUAUGACGGGUAGCUGGUCUGAGAGGAUGAUCAGCCAGAAUGGGACUGAGACACGGCCCAUACUCC
Molecule: ribosomal RNA, 251 nt
Filed under: uncultured bacterium
Lineage: Bacteria
Description: partial 16S ribosomal RNA
Rfam family: Bacterial small subunit ribosomal RNA
Source: RNAcentral